GGAGAGUUGCCGGAGUGGUCGAACGGGGCGGUCUCGAAAACCGUUGUAGUCUUUGGCUACCGGGGGUUCGAAUCCCUCACUCUCCG
This 86-nucleotide transfer RNA is filed under the name bacterium. RNAcentral's name for it is "tRNA-Ser". It matches the Rfam family "tRNA". From Rfam's summary of the family: Transfer RNA (tRNA) molecules are approximately 80 nucleotides in length. The record is from RNAcentral.